RNAcentral lists this ribosomal RNA (693 nucleotides) under bacterium. Its description in RNAcentral is "bacterial SSU rRNA". It matches the Rfam family "Bacterial small subunit ribosomal RNA", at positions 639 to 1332 of the family's 1533-position model. The record is from RNAcentral.
AACUUGAGUGCAGAAGAGGAGAGUGGAAUUCCACGUGUAGCGGUGAAAUGCGUAGAGAUGUGGAGGAACACCAGUGGCGAAGGCGACUCUCUGGUCUGUAACUGACGCUGAGGAGCGAAAGCGUGGGGAGCGAACAGGAUUAGAUACCCUGGUAGUCCACGCCGUAAACGAUGAGUGCUAAGUGUUAGGGGGUUUCCGCCCCUUAGUGCUGCAGCUAACGCAUUAAGCACUCCGCCUGGGGAGUACGGUCGCAAGACUGAAACUCAAAGGAAUUGACGGGGGCCCGCACAAGCGGUGGAGCAUGUGGUUUAAUUCGAAGCAACGCGAAGAACCUUACCAGGUCUUGACAUCCUCUGACAAUCCUAGAGAUAGGACGUCCCCUUCGGGGGCAGAGUGACAGGUGGUGCAUGGUUGUCGUCAGCUCGUGUCGUGAGAUGUUGGGUUAAGUCCCGCAACGAGCGCAACCCUUGAUCUUAGUUGCCAGCAUUCAGUUGGGCACUCUAAGGUGACUGCCGGUGACAAACCGGAGGAAGGUGGGGAUGACGUCAAAUCAUCAUGCCCCUUAUGACCUGGGCUACACACGUGCUACAAUGGACAGAACAAAGGGCAGCGAAACCGCGAGGUUAAGCCAAUCCCACAAAUCUGUUCUCAGUUCGGAUCGCAGUCUGCAACUCGACUGCGUGAAGCUGGAAU